Molecule: ribosomal RNA, 888 nt
Filed under: uncultured Bacteroidota bacterium
Lineage: Bacteria; Pseudomonadati; Bacteroidota
Description: bacterial SSU rRNA
Rfam family: Bacterial small subunit ribosomal RNA
Source: RNAcentral
GGAUCCAGACUUUGAUUAUGGCUCAGGAUGAACGCUAGCUACAGGCUUAACACAUGCAAGUCGAGGGGCAGCGGGAUUGAAGCUUGCUUCAAUUGCCGGCGACCGGCGCACGGGUGAGUAACGCGUAUCCAACCUUCCGUACACUCAGGGAUAGCCUUUCGAAAGAAAGAUUAAUACCUGAUAGUAUCUUAAGCACACAUGUAAUUAAGAUUAAAGAUUUAUCGGUGUACGAUGGGGAUGCGUUCCAUUAGGUAGUAGGCGGGGUAACGGCCCACCUAGCCAACGAUGGAUAGGGGUUCUGAGAGGAAGGUCCCCCACAUUGGAACUGAGACACGGUCCAAACUCCUACGGGAGGCAGCAGUGAGGAAUAUUGGUCAAUGGACGAGAGUCUGAACCAGCCAAGUAGCGUGAAGGAUGAAGGUCCUACGGAUUGUAAACUUCUUUUAUAAGGGAAUAAACCCUCCCACGUGUGGGAGCUUGUAUGUACCUUAUGAAUAAGCAUCGGCUAACUCCGUGCCAGCAGCCGCGGUAAUACGGAGGAUGCGAGCGUUAUCCGGAUUUAUUGGGUUUAAAGGGAGCGCAGACGGGUCGUUAAGUCAGCUGUGAAAGUUUGGGGCUCAACCUUAAAAUUGCAGUUGAUACUGGCGUCCUUGAGUGCGGUUGAGGUGUGCGGAAUUCGUGGUGUAGCGGUGAAAUGCUUAGAUAUCACGAAGAACUCCGAUUGCGAAGGCAGCACACUAAUCCGUAACUGACGUUCAUGCUCGAAAGUGUGGGUAUCAAACAGGAUUAGAUACCCUGGUAGUCCACACGGUAAACGAUGGAUACUCGCUGUUGGCGAUAUACUGUCAGCGGCUUAGCGAAAGCGUUAAGUAUCCCACCUGGGGAGUA